RNAcentral lists this ribosomal RNA (482 nucleotides) under uncultured bacterium. Its description in RNAcentral is "bacterial SSU rRNA". It matches the Rfam family "Bacterial small subunit ribosomal RNA", at positions 30 to 510 of the family's 1533-position model. The record is from RNAcentral.
AUUGAACGCUGGCGGAAUGCUUUACACAUGCAAGUCGAACGGUAGAGGGGGCAACCCCUUGAGAGUGGCGAACGGGUGAGUAAUAUAUCGGAACGUGCCCAGUCGUGGGGAUAACGUAGCGAAAGUUACGCUAAUACCGCAUACGAUCUAAGGAUGAAAGCGGGGGAUCGCAAGACCUCGCGCGAUUGGAGCGGCCGAUAUCAGAUUAGGUAGUUGGUGAGGUAAAGGCUCAUCAAGCCAACGAUCUGUAGCUGGUCUGAGAGGACGACCAGCCACACUGGAACUGAGACACGGUCCAGACUCCUACGGGAGGCAGCAGUGGGGAAUUUUUGGACAAUGGACGCAAGUCUGAUCCAGCCAUUCCGCGUGCAGGAUGAAGGCCCUCGGGUUGUAAACUGCUUUUGUACGGAACGAAAGGUUUCUAUUAAUACUAGGAGCUCAUGACGGUACCGUAAGAAUAAGCACCGGCUAACUACGUGCCA